This 206-nucleotide long non-coding RNA is filed under the name Nicotiana benthamiana. Its description in RNAcentral is "long non-coding RNA (NBEN_LNC028685)". Lineage: Eukaryota; Viridiplantae; Streptophyta; Magnoliopsida; Solanales; Solanaceae. The record is from RNAcentral.
CUUGACUACUCUCUAAAUUUACUAACCAACUCAAAUCCCUUUAGCUUUAGUUAAAAAUCAACCAAGGUUAAUUGAAGGCUAAAUUAUUCAGAUAUAUCCAAACCUUAAGCCUAAUUGAAUUGCAAAUGAACACUAAAUUGAAUGAACAAGCAAAACUAAAAUAAAUAAACUAACAUAAGUAUUAAUUCAUUCAAACAAAAUCAAAC